AACGAACGCUGGCGGCGCGCCUAAUACAUGCAAGUCGAGCGAGAAGACGUAGCAAUACGUUUGUAAAGCGGCGAACGGGUGAGGAAUACAUGGGUAACCUACCCUCGAGUGGGGAAUAACUAGCCGAAAGGUUAGCUAAUACCGCGUACGCUCCUUGGACUUCGGUUCAGGGAGGAAAGCGAUACCGUGGGUAUCGCGCUCUUGGAUGGGCUCAUGUCCUAUCAGCUUGUUGGUGAGGUAACGGCUCACCAAGGCUUCGACGGGUAGCUGGUCUGAGAGGACGAUCAGCCACACUGGCACUGCGACACGGGCCAGACUCCUACGGGAGGCAGCAGUAAGGAAUAUUGCGCAAUGGGCGAAAGCCUGACGCAGCGACGCCGCGUGGGGGAUGAAGGUCUUCGGAUUGUAAACCCCUUUCGGGAGGGAAGAUGGAAUGGGUAACCCAUUCGGACGGUACCUCCAGAAGCAGCCACGGCUAACUUCGUGCCAGCAGCCGCAGUAA
This 502-nucleotide ribosomal RNA is filed under the name uncultured bacterium. RNAcentral's name for it is "bacterial SSU rRNA". It matches the Rfam family "Bacterial small subunit ribosomal RNA", at positions 29 to 523 of the family's 1533-position model. The record is from RNAcentral.